Molecule: ribosomal RNA, 494 nt
Filed under: uncultured bacterium
Lineage: Bacteria
Description: bacterial SSU rRNA
Rfam family: Bacterial small subunit ribosomal RNA
Source: RNAcentral
AGGACGACGCUGGCGGCGUGCUUAACACAUGCAAGUGGAGCGACGAACCGGGGCUUGCCCCGGGGCAGAGCCGCGAACGGGUGAGUAACACGUGGGUAACCUGCCUCAAUGAUUGGGACAACCCGGGGAAACUCGGGCUAAUACCAAAUGUGUUCACUCCUUCCAAGGGGGAGUGAGGAAAGGAGCUUCGGCCUCCGCAUUGAGAUGGGCCCGCGGCCCAUUAGCUUGUUGGUGAGGUAACGGCUCACCAAGGCUUCGAUGGGUAGCUGGUCUGAGAGGACGAUCAGCCGCACUGGGACUGAGACACGGCCCAGACUCCUACGGGAGGCAGCAGUGGGGAAUCUUGCACAAUGCGCGAAAGCGUGAUGCAGCAACGCCGCGUGGGGGAAGACGGCCUUCGGGUUGUAAACCCCUUUCAGUUGGGACGAAGCUUCGUCGGUGAAUAGCCGGUUGGAGUGACGGUACCUUCAGAAGAAGCCCCGGCUAACUACGUG